CCUACGGGAGGCAGCAGUCGGGAAUAUUGCGCAAUGGAGGAAACUCUGACGCAGUGACGCCGCGUGCAGGAAGAAGGUUUUCGGAUUGUAAACUGCUUUAGACAGGGAAGAUACACGACAGUACCUGUAAAAUAAGCUCAGGCUAUCUACGUGCCAGAAGCCGCGGUAGUACGUAGGGAGCCAGCGUUAUCCGGAUUUAUUGGGUGUAAAGGGUGAGUAGAGGGGAAUGAAAGUUGGUUGUGAAAUCCUUCGGCUUAACUGAGGAACUGCAACCAAAACUAUCUUUCUUGAGUGCUGGAGAGGAAAGUGGAAUUCCUAGUGUAGCGGUGAAAUGCGUAGAUAUUAGGCAGAACACCAGUUGCGAAGGCGACUUUCUGGACAGUAACUGACGUUGAGGCACGAAAGUGUGGGGAGCAAACAGGAUUAGAUACCCGAGUAGUC
RNAcentral lists this ribosomal RNA (441 nucleotides) under uncultured bacterium. RNAcentral describes it as "partial 16S ribosomal RNA". It matches the Rfam family "Bacterial small subunit ribosomal RNA", at positions 338 to 795 of the family's 1533-position model. The record is from RNAcentral.